Molecule: ribosomal RNA, 253 nt
Filed under: uncultured bacterium
Lineage: Bacteria
Description: partial 16S ribosomal RNA
Rfam family: Bacterial small subunit ribosomal RNA
Source: RNAcentral
UACGGAGGGUGCGAGCGUUGUCCGGAAUCAUUGGGCGUAAAGGGCGCGUAGGUGGCUCGACAAGCGUGCGGUGAAAGCUCGGGGCUCAACCCCGAGUCGGCCGUGCGAACUGUUGUGCUUGAGCACUGUAGAGGCAGGCGGAAUUCCGGGUGUAGCGGUGGAAUGCGUAGAGAUCCGGAAGAACACCGGUGGCGAAGGCGGCCUGCUGGGCAGUAGCUGACACUGAGGCGCGACAGCGUGGGGAGCAAACAGG